This 298-nucleotide long non-coding RNA is filed under the name Rosa chinensis. RNAcentral's name for it is "sRNA RchiOBHm_Chr3g0495841". The record is from RNAcentral. Lineage: Eukaryota; Viridiplantae; Streptophyta; Magnoliopsida; Rosales; Rosaceae.
GCGGGAGUCCGCCGACCGAAUGGCUAAAGUGAAGCGGCUGGGGGGUGAGGUUACCCAGCUGAGGGCUGAAGGGAGUACCGCUGCGGCCGCCGCCGUUGAGGCGUUCAAGCAGUCGGCGGAGUUUAAGAAGGCAAUGACCGAGUCGGCGAAGGCUGGGGCCCGAGCAAAUAUAGACAUGCUGAAGCGGAAGGGCGCCAUUGACUUCGCCAAAGCGUCACAGCCUGACGCGCCGCCGGCUGAGAGUAUCCCGCCGGAGACAGACGUGCCUGCCCCAGCCGGAGGUGCCUGCUCGGGCAGC